This 440-nucleotide ribosomal RNA is filed under the name uncultured bacterium. RNAcentral's name for it is "partial 16S ribosomal RNA". It matches the Rfam family "Bacterial small subunit ribosomal RNA", at positions 338 to 795 of the family's 1533-position model. The record is from RNAcentral.
CCUACGGGGGGCAGCAGUAGGGAAUAUUGCUCAAUGGGGGAAACCCUGAAGCAGCAACGCCGCGUGGAGGAUGAAGGUUUUAGGAUUGUAAACUCCUUUUGUUAGAGAAGUCCAUGACGGUAUCUAACGAAUAAGCACCGGCCAACUCCGGGCCAGCAGCCGCGGUAACACGGAGGGCGCAAGCGUUAUUCGGAAUCACUGGGCGUAAAGGGGGCGUAGGCGGGGUAAUAAGUCAGAUGUGAAAUCCUGUGGUUUAACUCCAGAACUGCAUUUGAAACUGUUACUCUGGAGUGUGGGAGAGGUAGGUGGAAUUCUUGGUGUAGUGGUGAAAUCCGUAGAGAUCAAGAGGAAUACUCAUUGCGAAGGCGACCUGCUGGAGCAUUACUGACGCUGAUGCACGAAAGCGUGGGGAGCAAACAGGAUUAGAUACCCCAGUAGUC